GAGAGAGAGAGAGAGAGAACAUUGUAUACGGUCUUUACCAAUAAAAUCUGGAAUUAUUCGGCCAUCAGAGAACCUUCCAGUAGGAUACUUGAAGAAUGUCUCGCCAUAUGGCCAGAAAUUUGCCUUGGAAUCAUUGGAAAUAUUGCGAAAGUUAUUAUUCCCAGGAUCAAAUACUGAAUCUCCAAAAACGAACAGGGCAACGUGCUUGCUAGGCACUCUGUGGUCACCUUUAGAACUAGCUGAGGGGACAGUAAAAAAGAAAAACAUCAUCAAUACAUAAAUAAGAAAGCUUACGUUUGACAUGGCCACCACAGUUGUCAAUCUAUUCAU
RNAcentral lists this unclassified non-coding RNA (330 nucleotides) under Hevea brasiliensis (rubber tree). Lineage: Eukaryota; Viridiplantae; Streptophyta; Magnoliopsida; Malpighiales; Euphorbiaceae. The record is from RNAcentral.